UACACCAUGUGGCUUUCUAUCCGCAGGAAGUGACUCUAGAUUUCGGCAAAAAGAAAGAAAAACGCCUGUGGAUGAGCAACUCUUGCUUUCAGCAAACAAAAGUCUAAAAAGGCUAAAAUCGUUUCUCAGAGCACGGAAGCUAACCUGGAUUCAGACAACGUGGAAACGCAUUAUAUCGGAAGAACAACCAAAGAGAAAAACUUACAAGGCAAAAACCAUUUCACAGACUGAGGUGUCCUACUUACUUCCGAAAGAAACGUUUCAAGAACGUUCAUUAGAGUCUACCUCAAGCAUGCAUGGACCGAAGACACGACGCUUGCUGAUCAUGAUGAGGACGAAAUGUGAAAACUCAAAAAUCAUUCAAAAAGCUG
This is a long non-coding RNA of Pomacea canaliculata, 371 nucleotides long. RefSeq lists it as uncharacterized. The record is from RefSeq and is a predicted model, not a curated record. The transcript has 3 exons. NCBI's taxonomy places the organism in Eukaryota, Metazoa, Mollusca, Gastropoda, Architaenioglossa, Ampullariidae.